UUUCCGUAGGUGAACCUGCGGAAGGAUCAUUAAUGAGUCUUUGAAGUGGGUUUGAUGCUGGCCUUCCGAGGCAUGUGCUUGCCCUACUCUCAUCCACUCACACCUGUGCACCUUAACGUCGAAAAUUUGACCAGUCCCCCUCUUGGGUUGUAGGCUAGGGAGACCUAGUUGGUGGUUGCUUCUUUGCGUUUACCUCUAAACAAACUCUGAUUGUAAUAGAAUGUUAAUUGGCCUACGGGCUCUAAUGUUAAUACAACUUUCAACAACGGAUCUCUUGGCUCUC
This 283-nucleotide unclassified non-coding RNA is filed under the name plant metagenome. Its description in RNAcentral is "partial contains small subunit ribosomal RNA, internal transcribed spacer 1, and 5.8S ribosomal RNA". The record is from RNAcentral.